CAGCCGCCGCGGUAAUACGAAGGGUGCAAGCGUUAAUCGGAAUUACUGGGCGUAAAGCGUGCGUAGGCGGUUUGUUAAGUCUGCUGUGAAAUCCCCGGGCUCAACCUGGGAAUGGCAGUGGAUACUGGCAAGCUAGAGUGUGUCAGAGGAUGGUGGAAUUCCCAGUGUAGAGGUGAAAUUCGUAGAUAUUGGGAAGAACACCGGUGGCGAAGGCGGCAACCUGGCUCAUUACUGACGCUGAGGCGCGAAAGCGUGGGGAGCAAACAGGAUUAGAUACCCGCGUAGUCCCUGUCUCUUAUAC
RNAcentral lists this ribosomal RNA (301 nucleotides) under uncultured bacterium. RNAcentral describes it as "partial 16S ribosomal RNA". It matches the Rfam family "Bacterial small subunit ribosomal RNA", at positions 509 to 807 of the family's 1533-position model. The record is from RNAcentral.